This 395-nucleotide ribosomal RNA is filed under the name uncultured bacterium. RNAcentral's name for it is "partial 16S ribosomal RNA". It matches the Rfam family "Bacterial small subunit ribosomal RNA", at positions 523 to 918 of the family's 1533-position model. The record is from RNAcentral.
AUACGGAGGAUCCGAGCGUUAUCCGGAUUUAUUGGGUUUAAAGGGUGCGUAGGCGGACGAUUAAGUCAGCUGUGAAAUGCCCGCGCUUAACGCGGGAAGUGCAGUUGAUACUGGUUGUCUGGAGUGCCGUUGCCGUGGGGGGAAUGUGUAGUGUAGCGGUGAAAUGCAUAGAUAUUACACAGAACGCCGAUUGUGAAGACACCUCACGAAGCGGUAACUGACGCUGAGGCACGAAAGCGUGGGGAUCGAACAGGACUAGAUACCCCGGUAGUCCUAGCCGUAAACGAUGGAUACUAGGUGUGGGUGUCGCAGGGCAUCCGUGCCGCAGUUAACGCGUUAAGUAUCCCGCCUGGGGACUACGGUCGCAAGACUGAAACUUAAAGGAAUUGACGGGG